ACCAGGACGAUGUUGCCAGAAUGAAGAAGGAAUGGGCUAUGUGGAGAUUGUCUGGAGGGAAAAAUAAGACAUGCUUCUUCAGGAAAGGUCAAGACCUGGACCUCAGAGAAGGCACUCCAAGAAGGUGUGUACACCUGGAGACUCUGUCGCAGCUGCAAGCCGUUCUCUCUCUGAAUAAACAGAGAGUCCCACCUUUCUUUGAGGAGUAUCCACACUGUCCUCUCCCCCAAAGCAACAGGGAUUUACUCUAGCAGGGAACCUCAUUGGAAGCAGAAGAAUCAGAAUUUCCUGGGGACAAAUGUACCAUGUCAAAGUCCCCCAAAUGAUUCUGACCCCCAUCCUACUUGGGAGAUGCUAACUUUCCAGGUUGUGAAUCACACUUCUCACCAACUUAAUUGCAAGGGCUUUAACUUUCACAACAGUAAAAGUAAUACUCCAUGAAACAGCACAAAGUAUCUGGUUUCCAAAAGAAACUUUUUAUAUGAACCCAAAGUUAAAGAAUUUAAAACAGGGGCAUGAUGAUUUAAAUGAUUAAAGUGGGCUAAUGAAAUCAUCUUACAGGCUACAUGCGAAAGUUCCUAGUUUUUUGGUGUAGAUCAAAGAAUUCCACGAAAUUCAGUUAAACUACUGAAGGACAUUACUAUUGCCAAUAAAAAUAUAAUAGUUAACUUGAAGAGAAAGAUUUCGCAUUUUAUUAAUCUGAGUUUUAAGAAAAAUGUGUGAGAUGCCAGUAACUCAAAGCAGCAAACUUUUAUUUUUUCUGUAAUGUGCCUAGGCCAGCCAUGAAGAAUACAUUUCAUGUCUUGUGUCAAUUACAGUUGACUCCCACGGCUGUGCUGGGCAGGAUGCUCAGACCCACUCUCACUCAGGGAAAGGGGGCUUUAAUCAAACUGAUUAGUCUGCCCUUGGCACCAACACGCAUUCCCACACCAUGCUAGGAAUUCCUUUCUGUGAAGCGAUUAGAAAUUACACUCCUUAUGCUUGAAUAGCUUUUAGUCUGGUUUGGGAAUUAAGACCCAAAGAGGUGAGAAAAUAGAGCAUUUCUCAGGCAAUAUAGACACUUCCAUCAAUCUCUUCUGUGCUCCUCUUGUGGGACUAAUUGCUCCUUUCUUGUUACUGCCAUGAGCAUUUUAUGAGCACUGUUACAGGGCUACUGCCUUUGUUAUUGUUCUUACAUGGUUACCGCUCCCCUGUUAGUUUGCAACACCCUUGAGGGCAGUGACUGUACUCCAUUGCUCCAGCUCAAUUACCGUCAGCCCUCAGCACCCUGGUCUGUGCCUUAUGAGUUGAGGGGCCCUCUCUGACAAGGAGAUGAGCAUAUGAAGGGGGUUAAAGGAAAUCAGAUAAGUGGGGUGGAAAUACCAGGCUUUGCUCUCAGCUAACUAGGCCCCCCUUGUUCCCACCCCUAAGUCCCCAGUUUUCUGGGCUUAUGUCUACAGCCUUCCCAUUGAGUCUAUCAGCAAGCAACACUUGGCAACUU
This 1480-nucleotide long non-coding RNA is filed under the name Homo sapiens (human). Its description in RNAcentral is "HSALNT0280116". Lineage: Eukaryota; Metazoa; Chordata; Mammalia; Primates; Hominidae. The record is from RNAcentral.